GUUUAUCAGGUUUAUCAAGUUUAUAAUGUUUAUCAGGUUUAUCACGUUUAUAAUGUUUAUCAGGUUUAUCACGUUUAUAAUGUUUAUCAUGUUUAUCAUGUUUAUCACGUUAUCAUGUUUAUCACGUUUAUCAUGUUCAUCACGUUUAUCACGUUUAUAAUGUUCAUCACGUUUAUCACGUUUAUCAGGUUUAUCACGUUUAUCAGGUUCGUCACGUUUAUCAGGUUUAUCACGUUUAUCAGGUUCAUCACGUUUAUCACGUUUAUCAGGUUUAUCACGUUUAUCACUGAGUAAAUACGUCAUCGCGACACAGAAAGACAGCGUGUAUUGUUUUGGCACAAUGAGAUGACUGAAGAACUGAAAAUGAGUGUGUCUGAGGGAACAUGGAUCACAGCGGUUACUGCGGUUACUGCGGUUACUGCAUCUCUGUGGAAAAUGACCAAAUGUUUCGGAGAAAUAUAACAGGAAUGCUUAUGUACAGGAAAAUAAUGGCUCUCUAUUGUAAAUUAAUUAAAGAUUUAUUGUAAACAAAUCAAAGACGGUCUGUUGUAAACACAUUAAGGCGGUCUGUUGUAAAUAAAUUAAAGGCGGUCUGUUGUAAAUAAAUUAAAGGCGGUCUGUUGUAAAUAAAUUAAAGGCGGUCUGUUGUAAAUAAAUUAAAGGCGGUCUGUUGUAAAUAAAUUAAAGGUGGUCUGUUGUAAGCACAUUAAAGGCGGUCUUGUAAAUAAAUUAGGGAUGGUCUAAGAGAAAUGUACGGUGGUCUAGGGAAAAUAAAAUGUAGUCUUUUAUUCCUAGUGUAGUGCUCUCCAGGAGUUCAGUGUGUAGGUGGAGUGUCUAAUCAUUUUUAGAUCAACACAACAUCUGCAGGGCUGCUGAGUCUGUGAACACACACACACACACACACACACACACACACACACACACACACACACACACACACACACAGGAAGUGGUUAAAGACUUCGGAAACAUUGCUGCACAGUGCGUUCAUAUGAGUCCAUACACACACACCUAGACACACACACACACUCUUGGAAUUGAUGACAUGUAGCCACAUCCUCUCAAUCAAAC
Ictalurus punctatus (channel catfish) is the source of this 1071-nucleotide long non-coding RNA. NCBI's taxonomy places the organism in Eukaryota, Metazoa, Chordata, Actinopteri, Siluriformes, Ictaluridae. The record is from Ensembl.